GGGAGGCAAAGUCAGUAUCAUACAGGCCUAUAAUCUCUGCUUUGACCAGCCUGUCAAAUAUUUAUCUCCAAGGCUAUGAUUAUUAUCAUUGGCUAUUUCUGCUAUUUGUUUCCCAUAUCUGCUACAGAUGUCUAUGGCAUGUGUUUAGCUCUUGCUGGGAAGCUCUUGCUUGCAGCUCCACACAUUUCAGAUGCAGCCUCCCCAGUGACGUGAGGAGCUCCGUGCACAUCUUCCUUCAGAUGCCGAACCCACAGACCAACCCACCGCCCCAGCGAUCUUUGAACCAAGCCCAUCCCUUCAGGGUUUGCACAAACACGUGUGCACAAGUGGGCAGAGAAGCCCAGGGGGAGCGAAUGUCUCCCUUCACACACGCUCAGCUCAGAAGGGGAUGACAGAGGCCUGCGUCACUGCCGGAAGCGAGCAGCGGACCACAACAAACAGUGCGGUCUGGCAUCCCGUUGGAGGUCUUGUGACUGCCAUCUUCCCCACAAGACAAGAGUCCCCUCUUUGUGUGUCUGCCCCGUGCUGCUGUGGGGGUCUAAGGCCUGAUUCAAAGUGCGCAACACAAGCGUGAAAUACAAGCAAGAGCUGGCUGCAAUCCAGGGAUUCAUCUCGCUGCUGUCUCAGCUGUGCCAGUUGGAGUUAGUUACAGAGGAGGAGCUGCAGAACUGCCACAAGAACGGAAGGGGCUGGAAACAUCAUCUGUGGCCCACAGCAUAUGGUGUACACAUGACUUGAAUGCAGCAAAAUAGCUCAUUGCUUCACACAAACCAGUCGAGCAUUCCUGUAGCUCUGGCAGUAGCUCCCUCAGUCACCAUGAGCUUGGAGAUGCAACCACCUGCAGCUCUUCCUUACCAGAGGAAGGAGUGGGGAAAAGGGGCCGGACUCAAAGGGACAAAUAGCAAAAGAAAAAGACAAACUUGCCAUGCAGAGCUGGACAUAGCAGAUCACUACGAAGCAUGUGGGGAAAUCAUUUGUGUCCCUUCCUCACCAGUUCACAAUGCCAAAAACCUCAGAUGAUGUAAAUUAUCCCUUCCCCUCCGACUUCAGUGGCAUUGUGCCAGCUCCCAGCAGCUGAGGAUGUGACACAACCAUUUCUGUGCUCUGUAAACGUUGACAAAG
This 1122-nucleotide long non-coding RNA is filed under the name Numida meleagris (helmeted guineafowl). RNAcentral describes it as "lncRNA (ENSNMEG00000008643.1)". Lineage: Eukaryota; Metazoa; Chordata; Aves; Galliformes; Numididae. The record is from RNAcentral.